Molecule: ribosomal RNA, 1261 nt
Filed under: Priestia megaterium
Lineage: Bacteria; Bacillati; Bacillota; Bacilli; Caryophanales; Bacillaceae
Description: bacterial SSU rRNA
Rfam family: Bacterial small subunit ribosomal RNA
Source: RNAcentral
UAUGGCUCAGGAUGAACGCUGGCGGCGUGCCUAAUACAUGCAAGUCGAGCGAACUGAUUAGAAGCUUGCUUCUAUGACGUUAGCGGCGGACGGGUGAGUAACACGUGGGCAACCUGCCUGUAAGACUGGGAUAACUUCGGGAAACCGAAGCUAAUACCGGAUAGGAUCUUCUCCUUCAUGGGAGAUGAUUGAAAGAUGGUUUCGGCUAUCACUUACAGAUGGGCCCGCGGUGCAUUAGCUAGUUGGUGAGGUAACGGCUCACCAAGGCAACGAUGCAUAGCCGACCUGAGAGGGUGAUCGGCCACACUGGGACUGAGACACGGCCCAGACUCCUACGGGAGGCAGCAGUAGGGAAUCUUCCGCAAUGGACGAAAGUCUGACGGAGCAACGCCGCGUGAGUGAUGAAGGCUUUCGGGUCGUAAAACUCUGUUGUUAGGGAAGAACAAGUACAAGAGUAACUGCUUGUACCUUGACGGUACCUAACCAGAAAGCCACGGCUAACUACGUGCCAGCAGCCGCGGUAAUACGUAGGUGGCAAGCGUUAUCCGGAAUUAUUGGGCGUAAAGCGCGCGCAGGCGGUUUCUUAAGUCUGAUGUGAAAGCCCACGGCUCAACCGUGGAGGGUCAUUGGAAACUGGGGAACUUGAGUGCAGAAGAGAAAAGCGGAAUUCCACGUGUAGCGGUGAAAUGCGUAGAGAUGUGGAGGAACACCAGUGGCGAAGGCGGCUUUUUGGUCUGUAACUGACGCUGAGGCGCGAAAGCGUGGGGAGCAAACAGCGAUUAGAUACCCUGGUAGUCCACGCCGUAAACGAUGAGUGCUAAGUGUUAGAGGGUUUCCGCCCUUUAGUGCUGCAGCUAACGCAUUAAGCACUCCGCCUGGGGAGUACGGUCGCAAGACUGAAACUCAAAGGAAUUGACGGGGGCCCGCACAAGCGGUGGAGCAUGUGGUUUAAUUCGAAGCAACGCGAAGAACCUUACCAGGUCUUGACAUCCUCUGACAACUCUAGAGAUAGAGCGUUCCCCUUCGGGGGACAGAGUGACAGGUGGUGCAUGGUUGUCGUCAGCUCGUGUCGUGAGAUGUUGGGUUAAGUCCCGCAACGAGCGCAACCCUUGAUCUUAGUUGCCAGCAUUUAGUUGGGCACUCUAAGGUGACUGCCGGUGACAAACCGGAGGAAGGUGGGGAUGACGUCAAAUCAUCAUGCCCCUUAUGACCUGGGCUACACACGUGCUACAAUGGAUGGUACAAAGGGCUGCAAGACCGC